RNAcentral lists this ribosomal RNA (701 nucleotides) under uncultured bacterium. RNAcentral describes it as "bacterial SSU rRNA". It matches the Rfam family "Bacterial small subunit ribosomal RNA", at positions 8 to 690 of the family's 1533-position model. The record is from RNAcentral.
AGAGUUUGAUCCUGGCUCAGAAUCAACGCUGGCGGCGUGCCUAACACAUGCNAGUUGAGCGCUUGAGGGGGGCAACCCCCAAGAGAGCAGCGAACGGGUGAGUAACGCGUGGGUGAUCUUCCUUCGAGUGGGGAACAACAUCGGGAAACUGGUGCUAAUUCCGCAUAAUACCCUGGGGCUACGAGCCUCAGGAUCAAAGCCGGGGACCGCAAGGCCUGGCGCUUGAAGAUGGGCCCGCGUCCGAUUAGCUAGUUGGCGGGGUAAUGGCCCACCAAGGCUUCGAUCGGUAGCCGGCCUGAGAGGGCGGACGGCCACACUGGAACUGAGACACGGUCCAGACUCCUACGGGAGGCAGCAGUGGGGAAUUUUUCGCAAUGGGCGCAAGCCUGACGAAGCAACGCCGCGUGGAGGAUGAAGGUCUUCGGAUUGUAAACUCCUGUCGACCGGGACGAAUGCACUCGACCUAAUACGUCGGAAUGUUGACGGUACCGGUGGAGGAAGCCACGGCUAACUCUGUGCCAGCAGCCGCGGUAAUACAGAGGUGGCAAGCGUUGUUCGGAAUUACUGGGCGUAAAGGGCGCGUAGGCGGCCUUGUAAGUCUCGUGUGAAAGCCCUCGGCUUAACUGAGGAUCUGCACGGGAUACUGCGAGGCUUGAGUUCGGGANAGGAAAGCGGAAUUCCGGGUGUAGCGGUGAAAUGCG